AUUCGAAAGAUUCGUUCAACGCGUGAAUGAUUGUCGUUCGCACGAAGCGUGGGACGCUCGAUUUGGGGCAAAACAAGGUCGCAACGAACCUUGUACCCGCUCAAUGUUCCGUACCCGAGAUAGCGUGCACAACAUCAUGGGCCAAACAAUCCAAGCACACAUACAUUAGUGGCAAGGAAAGCGGAACACAAUGUGUACUGCAAAGUCCACCAACGCAGCAUCCCGAAGGUUGCGGCCUUGGUUGGAUGACCAAUGAUUCCGACAAACGAAUGCCCUCAAUGCAGGAACUCAAUACAGGAAACCGAAAUCGGUCAAGGCAUGCUCAAUCCAACAAAUGAAAACUGAUG
Molecule: unclassified non-coding RNA, 347 nt
Filed under: Odontites longiflorus
Lineage: Eukaryota; Viridiplantae; Streptophyta; Magnoliopsida; Lamiales; Orobanchaceae
Description: partial external transcribed spacer
Source: RNAcentral